This 137-nucleotide ribosomal RNA is filed under the name uncultured bacterium. RNAcentral's name for it is "partial 16S ribosomal RNA". It matches the Rfam family "Bacterial small subunit ribosomal RNA", at positions 355 to 509 of the family's 1533-position model. The record is from RNAcentral.
UCGGGAAUAUUGCGCAAUGGAGGAAACUCUGACGCAGUGACGCCGCGUGCAGGAAGAAGGUUUCGGAUUGUAAACUGCUUUAGACAGGGAAGAUAGCAGACAGUACCUGUAGAAUAAGCUCCGGCUAACUACGUGCC